RNAcentral lists this ribosomal RNA (610 nucleotides) under Gadus morhua (Atlantic cod). RNAcentral describes it as "partial 16S ribosomal RNA". Lineage: Eukaryota; Metazoa; Chordata; Actinopteri; Gadiformes; Gadidae. The record is from RNAcentral.
GUUGCCUGUGAAAUGAAUAGGAGUUCAGCCCUUUAAGUCUUUCCCCCCUCACCCAUGCUUACGCUAAAAUUGAUUAAGGAAACUAAAGGCGUUAAUCAAAAGGGGUACAGCCCUUUUGAUAGAAGAAACAACUUUAACAGGUGACCCAAGAUCAUAUUACUCAAGGAUUUCAAAUUAAGUGGGCCUAAAAGCAGCCAUCUUAUCAGAAAGCGUUAAAGCUCAAAUUAGCCUAUAUCCUCAUAUACUGAUAUUACAUCUCCCUCCCUGCCCCUUACCAGGCUGUCUUAUGCCCCCAUAAGAACAAUUAUGCUAAAAUGAGUAAUAAGAAGAAUUUAAUUCUUCUCCUAGCACAUGUGUAAGUCGGAACGGACCUCCCACCGACUAUUAAUCGACCCCAAACCCAGAGGGUAAUAGGUCGUAUAAACAAGAAAAACACCUAUUUUGUAUCGUUAACCCCACACAGGUGUGCCUAAAGGAAAGACUAAAAGAGAAGGAAGGAACUCGGCAAACACAAGCCUCGCCUGUUUACCAAAAACAUCGCCUCUUGCUCCAAAAAUAUAAGAGGUCCCGCCUGCCCUGUGACUAUAAGUUUAACGGCCGCGGUAUUUUA